GCACUCCCGAAGCUGCGCGCUGGGGAGAGGAGGACGACCCCCCCCCCAUAGAGAGGACCGUUCCUCGGUCAAGGGUAUACGAGUAGCUGCGCUCCCCUGCUAGAAUCUCUAAACAAGUUCUCAAGGAAAGGCACUGAUCCAGC
Molecule: small RNA, 143 nt
Filed under: Octodon degus (degu)
Lineage: Eukaryota; Metazoa; Chordata; Mammalia; Rodentia; Octodontidae
Description: 7SK RNA (ENSODEG00000022316.1)
Rfam family: 7SK RNA
About the family: 7SK was discovered as an abundant small nuclear RNA in the mid-70s but a possible function has only recently been suggested. Two independent studies have found that 7SK RNA binds the CDK9/cyclin T complex (known as elongation factor P-TEFb).
Source: RNAcentral